Molecule: ribosomal RNA, 253 nt
Filed under: uncultured bacterium
Lineage: Bacteria
Description: partial 16S ribosomal RNA
Rfam family: Bacterial small subunit ribosomal RNA
Source: RNAcentral
UACGGGGGGGGCAAACGUUGCUCGGAAUCAUUGGGCGUAAAGCGCACGUAGGCGGCCUCGCAAGUCUGAUGUGAAAUCCCUCGGCUCAACCGAGGACGUGCAUCGGAAACUGCGGGGCUCGAGUACUGAAGAGGAUCGCGGAAUUCCCGGUGUAGAGGUGAAAUUCGUAGAUAUCGGGAGGAACACCAGUGGCGAAGGCGGCGAUCUGGGCAGAUACUGACGCUGAGGUGCGAAAGCGUGGGGAGCAAACAGG